AGGAUUAUAGUUAAAAAUAACAUUUAAUUUGCAAUUAAAAAGUACUAAUAAGUUAAUCUUU
This 61-nucleotide transfer RNA is filed under the name Durgades nigropicta. Its description in RNAcentral is "tRNA-Ala". Lineage: Eukaryota; Metazoa; Arthropoda; Insecta; Hemiptera; Cicadellidae. The record is from RNAcentral.